RNAcentral lists this transfer RNA (69 nucleotides) under Capra hircus (goat). It matches the Rfam family "tRNA". Rfam says of the family: Transfer RNA (tRNA) molecules are approximately 80 nucleotides in length. Their secondary structure includes four short double-helical elements and three loops (D, anti-codon, and T loops). Further hydrogen bonds mediate the characteristic L-shaped molecular structure. tRNAs have two regions of fundamental functional importance: the anti-codon, which is responsible for specific mRNA codon recognition, and the 3' end, to which the tRNAs corresponding amino acid is attached (by aminoacyl-tRNA synthetases). tRNAs cope with the degeneracy of the genetic code in two manners: having more than one tRNA (with a specific anti-codon) for a particular amino acid; and 'wobble' base-pairing, i.e. permitting non-standard base-pairing at the 3rd anti-codon position. Lineage: Eukaryota; Metazoa; Chordata; Mammalia; Artiodactyla; Bovidae. The record is from Rfam by way of RNAcentral. RNAcentral also lists the same sequence under 4 other names.
CCUGGUAGCUCAGGUGGUAAAGAAUCUGCCUGCAAUGCAGGAGACCCAGGUUCAAUCCCUGGGUCAGGA